This 253-nucleotide ribosomal RNA is filed under the name uncultured Coprococcus sp. RNAcentral's name for it is "partial 16S ribosomal RNA". It matches the Rfam family "Bacterial small subunit ribosomal RNA", at positions 524 to 776 of the family's 1533-position model. Lineage: Bacteria; Bacillati; Bacillota; Clostridia; Lachnospirales; Lachnospiraceae. The record is from RNAcentral.
UACGUAGGUGGCAAGCGUUGUCCGGAUUUACUGGGUGUAAAGGGCGUGCAGCCGGAGAGGCAAGUCAGAAGUGAAAGCCCGGGGCUCAACUCCGGGACUGCUUUUGAAACUGUGUUGCUAGAUUGCAGGAGAGGUAAGUGGAAUUCCUAGUGUAGCGGUGAAAUGCGUAGAUAUUAGGAGGAACACCAGUGGCGAAGGCGGCUUACUGGACUGUAAAUGACGCUGAGGCUCGAAAGCGUGGGGAGCAAACAGG